AAAUUGAAGAGUUUGAUCAUGGCUCAGAUUGAACGCUGGCGGCAGGCCUAACACAUGCAAGUCGAACGGUAACAGGAAACAGCUUGCUGUUUCGCUGACGAGUGGCGGACGGGUGAGUAAUGUCUGGGAAACUGCUCGAUGGAGGGGGAUAACUACUGGAAACGGUAGCUAAUACCGCAUAACGUCGCAAGACCAAAGAGGGGGACCUUCGGGCCUCUUGC
This 221-nucleotide ribosomal RNA is filed under the name Shigella flexneri. RNAcentral describes it as "partial 16S ribosomal RNA". It matches the Rfam family "Bacterial small subunit ribosomal RNA", at positions 1 to 218 of the family's 1533-position model. Lineage: Bacteria; Pseudomonadati; Pseudomonadota; Gammaproteobacteria; Enterobacterales; Enterobacteriaceae. The record is from RNAcentral.